AAGGUUUAAGCUUUUCGAUAGCUUAUUUUUCUUGUUCAUCAGGAUCCCUUUGUCAAUCCUUUCAACAUGAUUACUCUUCAAGGGUGUAUCAUCGGCCACCAAAAAGGUAUUUUAUCCUUCCUUUCUAAUCUUACUUUCUGGUUUAUCGAUUUUUCCCUUCUCUUACCUUGGUUCAAAUCCUAAUGACGACCAAGGACAAGAUGAGUGUAGUUCAAAUCCAAUGAUGUCCAAGGACACCAAAAGAUCAUCCGAAUAAGCAUUUUGAAGAGCCUGAAGCAUUUUACAUAAAAAAAGUCUUCAAUCCUAGAGAUAGGUUCACUGUUUCAUGGUCCAACACACCACCACCCCUACCACCCCUAUUCAACAAGUACCUCCUCCUCCAAACAUAUCUAAACUAAAGUGGAAUGGUAGAAGCGGUUUUGCAGCAGGACGAAAUGUCUUCGCAAGGGUCCAGGGCUCACAUUUCCCAUUCCCAUUAACAGAUUUACAACAGGAUAUCCCUAUUGCUGAGUGAUAUGUCAAGAGACUAUCUAGGACUCAACGGUCAAUUUGUGCAAGAUUUCUUUGAUUUGCUUUUGUUUUCUGAAAUAUAUGUUUUAUCUCUAAUUUGUAGUAGGUAUAACUUUUAAUCUUGUGUUAAUUAUGAAUAAUUCAUGAAUUAGUAAGAAACGACAAAAUACGAAAUACUUAACUGACUUAAGUAAAUUUUUAG
This 712-nucleotide long non-coding RNA is filed under the name Medicago truncatula (barrel medic). RNAcentral's name for it is "long non-coding RNA (MTRU_LNC005904)". Lineage: Eukaryota; Viridiplantae; Streptophyta; Magnoliopsida; Fabales; Fabaceae. The record is from RNAcentral.